This is a non-coding RNA of Plutella xylostella (diamondback moth), 1152 nucleotides long. The record is from RefSeq and is a predicted model, not a curated record. Lineage: Eukaryota; Metazoa; Arthropoda; Insecta; Lepidoptera; Plutellidae.
GCUGGGGCGCGAUUCACAUCUCAACCGAAAUAUUUGUAAAGCGAUACGAACGAGUUACGAGAUGAAAUCCGCAAUGUUUAAAAACGCGAUUCAUAGCACACAUACUUUGAUCUCGUUUUCAUAUCGCUAGUUCGUAUUUGGAUGGCUUGAGUGAAAUGAAUGAAACUAUAUUUUUUUUAAUUGCCAUGCAAAAAUUAUAAAUACUACCACUAAUUGUUUUAAAUAAUUUUGUUCCUACAAUAUAUUUUGUUGGAAUUAGUGUCGAUAGCAAGUAUCAAGAAACAGCUUUUUAAUUCAACGUUGAAGAAAUUCAUAACCUGUGGCAAUUUUGACAGCCGCCAUGUUUUCUCCAUAAAUACAUUGAUUUUCUUUGCUCAUUUUCGUGUCAACGUAGUUUUUUUGGAAAAUAAGAAGAAAUGAAGUUUAACUUACUUAGAGAAAUACGACUGAGACAUAAACACAAGCAGCAGCCGAUGUGCUUGAGUAGCAGAAGGAGCAACUGCGUUGUGAGAGGGCCACGGCUUCAGCCCUCACAAUGAUAGCUGAUUAGCUGAAGUAAUGAACAGACAGGCUGCAGUCAAUGAGAGGCUUCUUGAGGAGGUGUUCCUCAUAUGGAAAUCGUAGGUUAUUCCUAAAUGUUUGGCUAAAUAAUAGAAUAGAAUUUAACUUCAUUGUUACCCCAAUAAUGUCUUAGGAAAACUGGUGUUGAAUAUUUAUGUUACAGCGUAGUUUUGUUUAGUAUCUGUCUGUAAUUUUUUAGAACAAUAUCAUACUGAACUUUUCAUUUUGUCUUUUCUAGGCUAAUGAAAGGAACAAUCAAGACCAGACUUAAAGUAAAAUAAUACGUAUACAUAAUUUAUAUCGGAAUAAGUACAAAAUAUUUUUGUAGGUAUAUGUUUUAACUAUAAAUUGAAAAUCCACAGAUUUUAGCGGCGACGCAGUUGCGCGACCAGUGAAGCUCUGGCUCCGCGACCGGCGUGGAGCGCGCGGUCAGCGCGGCGCUGCUGCGGCUGCUGCGCGGGAGGAUCCCGUCCCUGCGCAUGCGCCUGGCCUUCAAUGACCUCACGCCUCUCUUCUUCCUCUUCUUCAUGCGUCAAUUCAAACAGAGGAGCACCUGUGAUUACUGAUUACCUAAGUUCCUAUAUACAAUAA